AAAUUGAAGAGUUUGAUCAUGGCUCAGAUUGAACGCUGGCGGCAGGCCUAACACAUGCAAGUCGAACGGUAACAGGAAGCAGCUUGCUGCUUCGCUGACGAGUGGCGGACGGGUGAGUAAUGUCUGGGAAACUGCCUGAUGGAGGGGGAUAACUACUGGAAACGGUGGCUAAUACCGCAUAACGUCGCAAGACCAAAGAGGGGGACCUUCGGGCCUCUUGCCAUCAGAUGUGCCCAGAUGGGAUUAGCUUGUUGGUGAGGUAACGGCUCACCAAGGCGACGAUCCCUAGCUGGUCUGAGAGGAUGACCAGCCACACUGGAACUGAGACACGGUCCAGACUCCUACGGGAGGCAGCAGUGGGGAAUAUUGCACAAUGGGCGCAAGCCUGAUGCAGCCAUGCCGCGUGUAUGAAGAAGGCCUUCGGGUUGUAAAGUACUUUCAGCGGGGAGGAAGGUGUUGUGGUUAAUAACCGCAGCAAUUGACGUUACCCGCAGAAGAAGCACCGGCUAACUCCGUGCCAGCAGCCGCGGUAAUACGGAGGGUGCAAGCGUUAAUCGGAAUUACUGGGCGUAAAGCGCACGCAGGCGGUCUGUCAAGUCGGAUGUGAAAUCCCCGGGCUCAACCUGGGAACUGCAUUCGAAACUGGCAGGCUUGAGUCUUGUAGAGGGGGGUAGAAUUCCAGGUGUAGCGGUGAAAUGCGUAGAGAUCUGGAGGAAUACCGGUGGCGAAGGCGGCCCCCUGGACAAAGACUGACGCUCAGGUGCGAAAGCGUGGGGAGCAAACAGGAUUAGAUACCCUGGUAGUCCACGCCGUAAACGAUGUCUACUUGGAGGUUGUGCCCUUGAGGCGUGGCUUCCGGAGCUAACGCGUUAAGUAGACCGCCUGGGGAGUACGGCCGCAAGGUUAAAACUCAAAUGAAUUGACGGGGGCCCGCACAAGCGGUGGAGCAUGUGGUUUAAUUCGAUGCAACGCGAAGAACCUUACCUGGUCUUGACAUCCACAGAACUUUCCAGAGAUGGAUUGGUGCCUUCGGGAACUGUGAGACAGGUGCUGCAUGGCUGUCGUCAGCUCGUGUUGUGAAAUG
This 1084-nucleotide ribosomal RNA is filed under the name Salmonella enterica. Its description in RNAcentral is "bacterial SSU rRNA". It matches the Rfam family "Bacterial small subunit ribosomal RNA", at positions 1 to 1074 of the family's 1533-position model. The record is from RNAcentral. Lineage: Bacteria; Pseudomonadati; Pseudomonadota; Gammaproteobacteria; Enterobacterales; Enterobacteriaceae.